This 596-nucleotide long non-coding RNA is filed under the name Homo sapiens (human). RNAcentral's name for it is "HSALNT0342644". The record is from RNAcentral. Lineage: Eukaryota; Metazoa; Chordata; Mammalia; Primates; Hominidae.
GUGCUUAUUUCACUGUCUAACCCUGCCCAGGCCCCGGGGAGAAGCCUGGUAUUCUUCGUGUUUAUUUAAUUGUCAACUCUCUGUGUUCUAAGACGAUACCCUGGCCUUGACUCAGUACAACCUAGGACUGUAAGUCCCAUCAUGUCUAUGGACUUCAGUUUCCAGACAUGAAACACAAGAGGCUUGGACGAGAUUAGAAAUCAAGAACUCGAAUGCGUAUGGUCAGAGCCACGAGAGUUUCCAUAAAGGAACACAACCAUGUGGACAACUUGAUUAUGCCCUACAAAACGGAAUUCCUGUGAGCAUUCCUCUUCAAGAUGGAAGAAAAAGGGAAUAUUUCACAACCCCAAUGGUGAAACGUCUGCCUAUAGCCAACAAUACAAUCUCCAUCCAUGUAUGAUGUGACUUGCUCCUACAUGCCUUCCACCAUGAUUAUGAGGCCUCCUGAGCCAUGUGGAACUGUGCUCAGCACUGAAUAGAAAGCCUGGCGCCAGUUCUGGAGGCUGGGAAGUCCACAAUCAAAGCACUAGCAUAUGAUGUCUGGUAAGGGCCUGGUCUCUGCUUCCAAGAUGGUGCCUUGAAUGUUGUACCCUCCA